RNAcentral lists this ribosomal RNA (400 nucleotides) under uncultured bacterium. Its description in RNAcentral is "bacterial SSU rRNA". It matches the Rfam family "Bacterial small subunit ribosomal RNA", at positions 355 to 769 of the family's 1533-position model. The record is from RNAcentral.
UAGGGAAUAUUGCACAAUGGAGGAAACUCUGAUGCAGCGACGCCGCGUGAGUGAUGAAGGCCUUCGGGUUGUAAAGCUCUGUUCUCAGGGAACAAAAAAAUGAGUGUACCUGAGAAGAAAGGACCGGCUAACUUCGUGCCAGCAGCCGCGGUAAUACGAGGGGUCCUAGCGUUGUUCGGAAUUAUUGGGCGUAAAGCGGAUGUAGGUGGCAUUGUAAGUCGGGAGUGAAAGCCCUGGGCUCAACCCAGGAAGUGCUCUCGAUACUGCUUUGCUUGAGUAUGGGAGAGGGUAGUAGAAUUCCUGGUGUAGUGGUGAAAUACGUAGAUAUCAGGAGGAACACCGGUGGCGAAGGCGGCUACCUGGCCCAAUACUGACACUCAGAUCCGAAAGCGUGGGGAUC